This 256-nucleotide ribosomal RNA is filed under the name uncultured bacterium. RNAcentral's name for it is "partial 16S ribosomal RNA". It matches the Rfam family "Bacterial small subunit ribosomal RNA", at positions 524 to 776 of the family's 1533-position model. The record is from RNAcentral.
UACGAAGGGGGGCUAGCGUUGUUCGGAAUUACUGGGCGUAAAGCGCACGUAGGCGGAUAUUUAAAGUCAGGGGUGAAAUCCCAGAGCUCAACUCUGGAACUGCCUUUGAUACUGGCAAGCUAGAGUCCGGAAGAGGUAAGUGGAACUCCUAGUGUAGAGGUGGAAUUCGUAGAUAUUAGGAAGAACACCAGUGGCGAAGGCGGCUUACUGGUCCGGAACUGACGCUGAGGUGCGAAAGCGUGGGGGAGCAAACAGG